Rhipicephalus microplus (southern cattle tick) is the source of this 236-nucleotide long non-coding RNA. The record is from RefSeq and is a predicted model, not a curated record. Lineage: Eukaryota; Metazoa; Arthropoda; Arachnida; Ixodida; Ixodidae.
AUUGUAGCCUUGGCAGCAGCACUCCUGGCAGCCGACAUUGCUGCCGAAGAGAUAACAGCAAGUGGAGGAGGUGGAACUGGCAGCGGAUGCCCGGACACCACAGCAUGCACCAAAAGCUGCAAGAAACAGGGCUACAGCAUUGGAAUCUACCUUGAGCCCCUACUUACCAUCUGUGCGUGCUUGUAAUACUGAGCCGAUCAGACCGCUGAGUUGCAAUAAAUGUUUACCGCGUUGAC